This is a long non-coding RNA of Hemibagrus wyckioides, 880 nucleotides long. RefSeq lists it as uncharacterized. NCBI's taxonomy places the organism in Eukaryota, Metazoa, Chordata, Actinopteri, Siluriformes, Bagridae. The record is from RefSeq and is a predicted model, not a curated record. The transcript has 5 exons.
AUUUACCUUGUUCUUUUAUUUAUCUCCGCUCUUUAUAUUUACCUCGCUGUUUACAAUGACUAGCCAAGGAACUGAAGAGGAAGAGGCGGCUGCACAAUCCUAAAAUCGCGGAGGCAGUCCGUCCGCUACACAACUCUGAGGAAACUGUAGGCGCUAUGACCCGGAGCAGGGAUUAAACUCGCCAUAUAAUGAGACGGUCACCUCAUUUUAGUGGAGCACUGUCCAUAAGCCCGGAAACGCGCGAUGAAGGCCUGGAUAAAAAUGACUUUGUUGGAAAGUAAUUUUCACUGUGUUGUUGUUGUUGUUGUUGUUGUUGUUGUUAGAUUCAAGAAGCUUUAUUGUCAUUUCAACCACAUAUAUCUGACGCAGUACAUAGUGAAAUGAAACAACGUUUCUCCAGGACCUGGUGCUACAGAAACAUACAACAUGGAGUUCAAACACAAGAACAACAUAAAGCUAGGACCGAAAGUUCGUCCAAGCCACAUAAAGUUUGCCUGCAAGACAUACUACGAGACAGUGCAUAGAAAUUUCCGGAACAACCAAAGCUAGCCAAUGUGGCUACAGCUAAUAAGACCUCAGCCCAGAGUCACCAGAGGAGGAAGAGGCUCUUGGAGGCGAGGCAAAGUAUACUGGCUGCGGAUGAAGUGGACUUCUGGAGUGGAAUCACUGCUGACAUGAUGUCAGAUGAAGAAGACGGUGCCGUUGAUGGAGUCUCGGGGUGGAUUGUGAGACCUCCAUCAAUCCACAGCCAGGAGUUCAGCAAUCUGUGUGCUAAGCUGCAGACGAGACUAGAAGCCAGUUCAAAGUAUGCAGCACUGCAUCACUGGCGUCUGUGAACUGGGAUUCCGUCUAACAGAACACCACCGCAUACCUACGACCC